Lactuca sativa (garden lettuce) is the source of this 607-nucleotide long non-coding RNA. RefSeq lists it as uncharacterized. The record is from RefSeq and is a predicted model, not a curated record. Lineage: Eukaryota; Viridiplantae; Streptophyta; Magnoliopsida; Asterales; Asteraceae.
AUUAAAACCCCUUUACUGGUCUUCCCCUCCGUAAUCCUUAUGCUCCCGUCAUGUCGAGGUUUUGAGAAUUGAGAAAGCUUGCUGAUGUGACCUUAUAAAAUGUUUGAAUCAACCUAGUAACAUACAAAUUAACGACCUGGAGGAGGAGGAGGGAGAACUACAUAGGUUUGUGCGGAUUCGUUUUCUUUGCAUAAACUUGUGUAAGAUGAGAUCUCAUGUUGAUUAUCUUGCCAUGAUUGUUGGAAUCGGUGUUCUUGAAAUUACCUUUGUUCCGCAACAACUUGAUCAACGACAGAGUUUGUCUUCGUGUCUUGGGUUGGGACAAUCGUUGACAUGACCUUCAUACCUUCCAAUGUCUCCAAGCAUCUGCCACAAGACCAACAAAACAAGCGACAUCCCAUUUUACGUAAAAUUGGCUUGAGGAAACUUUAUCAAACACAGGUUGCAAACUCAGUUGUGUGGGUGUUGUUGGAUCAGAAAUUGAGGAAUCUUAUUUGACAACAAACUUUCAUGUCUUUAUGAAAAUACAAAAAAGUUAUAUUAUGUCUGUUGAUAUUAUUUUGUAUAUUAAUUCUAUCAGAUCGCAAUUUAAGGGGUGUUUGGUAUU